RNAcentral lists this ribosomal RNA (253 nucleotides) under uncultured bacterium. RNAcentral's name for it is "partial 16S ribosomal RNA". It matches the Rfam family "Bacterial small subunit ribosomal RNA", at positions 524 to 776 of the family's 1533-position model. The record is from RNAcentral.
UACGUAGGGCGCAAGCGUUAUCCGGAAUUAUUGGGCGUAAAGAGCUCGUAGGCGGUUUGUCGCGUCUGCCGUGAAAGUCCGGGGCUCAACCCCGGGCCUGCAUUCGAUACGGGCAGACUAGAGUUCGGUAGGGGAGUCUGGAAUUCCUGGUGUAGCGGUGAAAUGCGCAGAUAUCAGGAGGAACACCGGUGGCGAAGGCGGGACUCUGGGCCGAUACUGACGCUGAGGAGCGAAAGCGUGGGGAGCAAACAGG